Cinclus cinclus is the source of this 808-nucleotide long non-coding RNA. RefSeq lists it as uncharacterized. The record is from RefSeq and is a predicted model, not a curated record. NCBI's taxonomy places the organism in Eukaryota, Metazoa, Chordata, Aves, Passeriformes, Cinclidae. The transcript has 2 exons.
GGUUUCAUCCAUCAAGAUGAAGAUACAUCACCAUGAACUGACCCUGGGCACCGCCCAUAGCAGUGGCCUGGAGAGCACUUACAGAGCCCAGUCGACAGCGAUGAUGAGGGUGAUAUCCUCGGUGGGCAGCCCCACGGAGCAUGAAGACAACAACUGUCCCACAGGAACUGGGAUGAGGAAUGGAGGAAGAAGAACAGAUUGAAGAAAGGAAACCACAGAAGUCAAUUGGAUUGUGACAGACUCUGGGAGAUGGGGACUGCGUUUGGGAAAGGCUCUGGAUGCAGAGUGGUGGCCCCAGCCCUGGGUACAGACCAUGGGGCUGGGACAAGGAGCAGGGUAUUCUUUCUGUGACAGUUCUCCCUCCCUUAGCUGACUGCAGAGCAGAGGGAAGAGAAGCCUGAUGGAGACAGAGCUGGAAAUCCAGAUUCAGGAGGAGACCAGGUCAUUAAGAAUUGCAGAAGCAGUGGUUGCAGCGGUGGACACUGGGGAAGGGAGGCACAGAUGGCAGGUGGAAGGCAGGUGGUUUUAGUUGGAUUAUGUGGAGAAGCAACAGAGAGGCCAGGAAAACCCUUUGCCUGGUCAAAUAUGCUCCAGGAAAAUACAUGAAUCUGUGUGUCUUCAGAAAAGGAUGGUGGUUUAUAGUGUGAACUUUUUUUCAUUGUUAUAAGGAAUGUAUUUCAAUGAAAAUAGAAUAGAUAAAUAUAAUCUAAAAUGAUUAAAAUCUUUUCAAGGUAGGUAAGAUUUUUCUGUGGAUGAACUUGGGAUACACUGUAGUUGAUUUUAGAUUGUCAAUAAAGUGUUCAGAAGA